This 487-nucleotide ribosomal RNA is filed under the name uncultured bacterium. RNAcentral describes it as "partial 16S ribosomal RNA". It matches the Rfam family "Bacterial small subunit ribosomal RNA", at positions 30 to 504 of the family's 1533-position model. The record is from RNAcentral.
AUUGAACGCUGGCGGCAGGCCUAACACAUGCAAGUCGAACGGUAACAGGAAGAAGCUUGCUUCUUUGCUGACGAGUGGCGGACGGGUGAGUAAUGUCUGGGAAACUGCCUGAUGGAGGGGGAUAACUACUGGAAACGGUAGCUAAUACCGCAUAACGUCGCAAGACCAAAGAGGGGGACCUUCGGGCCUCUUGCCAUCGGAUGUGCCCAGAUGGGAUUAGCUAGUAGGUGGGGUAACGGCUCACCUAGGCGACGAUCCCUAGCUGGUCUGAGAGGAUGACCAGCCACACUGGAACUGAGACACGGUCCAGACUCCUACGGGAGGCAGCAGUGGGGAAUAUGGCACAAUGGGCGCAAGCCUGAUGCAGCCAUGCCGCGUGUAUGAAGAAGGCCUUCGGGUUGUAAAGUACUUUCAGCGGGGAGGAAGGGAGUAAAGUUAAUACCUUUGCUCAUUGACGUUACCCGCAGAAGAAGCACCGGCUAACUCC